Molecule: ribosomal RNA, 388 nt
Filed under: uncultured eukaryote
Lineage: Eukaryota
Description: SSU rRNA
Rfam family: Eukaryotic small subunit ribosomal RNA
Source: RNAcentral
CCAGCAGCCGCGGUAAUUCCAGCUCCAAUAGCGUAUAUUAAAGUUGUUGCAGUUAAAAAGCUCGUAGUUGAACCUUGGGCCUGGCUGGCCGGUCCGCCUCACCGCGUGCACUGGUUCGGCCGGGCCUUUCCCUCUGGGGAACCGCAUGCCCUUCACUGGGUGUGUCGGGGAACCAGGACUUUUACUGUGAAAAAAUUAGAGUGUUCAAAGCAGGCCUAUGCUCGAAUACAUUAGCAUGGAAUAAUAGAAUAGGACGUGUGGUUCUAUUUUGUUGGUUUCUAGGACCGCCGUAAUGAUUAAUAGGGACAGUCGGGGGCGUCAGUAUUCCAUUGUCAGAGGUGAAAUUCUUGGAUUUAUGGAAGACUAACUACUGCGAAAGCAUUCGCCA